AAAUUUAUUACAUAUAAAGAGUAAUAUAAAAAAAAUUCUGAAAUACGUAUAUAUUUUAUGCGGAAUUUUUAAACAAAAAAUCCUCCUACUUUAUGUACUUAUUUUGCAUAUCUAAUAAAAAUAACAUUGCUAAAAUAAUAAUAAAUAAAAAGUUCAUGAUUUUAGAUGGCCUUGAGGUGGCUCCGUGUCACUUGCUGAGCCUAUUUGAACGUUUCUUGUUUGUAUUGAUUAAUUUGUUUGUUAAGCUUUAAAUAAUAAAAUAUUUAGAUUUGUUAAGUGUUCCAUCAAAAAUUGCAAAAAAAUUACGUAAAGUUAAUUAUAUA
This 323-nucleotide long non-coding RNA is filed under the name Salvia miltiorrhiza (redroot sage). RNAcentral's name for it is "long non-coding RNA (SMIL_LNC013533)". Lineage: Eukaryota; Viridiplantae; Streptophyta; Magnoliopsida; Lamiales; Lamiaceae. The record is from RNAcentral.